This 217-nucleotide unclassified non-coding RNA is filed under the name Hevea brasiliensis (rubber tree). Lineage: Eukaryota; Viridiplantae; Streptophyta; Magnoliopsida; Malpighiales; Euphorbiaceae. The record is from RNAcentral.
GAUAGUUUACCUGAGAGCUUGGGGAAUCUAAGACGUUUGGAGAAGCUGGAUGUAGGUGAAACUGCUGUAGGAGAACCACCAUCCUCCAUCGGACUAUUGGAAAAUCUGUCUUUUCGUGGAAGUAAGCCAAUAGCAUUUUGUUGGCUCUAUAAGUGGUUGUGCAUAUUUGGAAUAGCACAUGAUCGUGUGGGUUUAUCAUUGCCUUCUUUAAAAGGUU